This 330-nucleotide ribosomal RNA is filed under the name uncultured Glomus. RNAcentral's name for it is "SSU rRNA". It matches the Rfam family "Eukaryotic small subunit ribosomal RNA", at positions 1357 to 1707 of the family's 1831-position model. Lineage: Eukaryota; Fungi; Glomeromycota; Glomeromycetes; Glomerales; Glomeraceae. The record is from RNAcentral.
AGCUAGGCUUAACAUUGUUAAGUCGCCAGCUUCUUAGAGGGACUAUCGGUGUUUAACCGAUGGAAGUUUGAGGCAAUAACAGGUCUGUGAUGCCCUUAGUUGUUCUGGGCCGCACGCGCGCUACACUGAUGAAGUCAUCGAGUUCAUUUCCUUUAUCGGAAGAUAUGGGUAAUCCUUUGAAACUUCAUCGUGCUGGGGAUAGAGCUUUGCGAUUAUUGCUCUUGAACGAGGAAUCCCUAGUAAGCACAAGUCAUCAGCUUGUGCUGAUUACGUCCCUGCCCUUUGUACACACCGCCCGUCGCUACUACCGAUUGAAUGGCUUAGUGAGGC